UACGUACGCUGGCGGCACGCCUAACACAUGCAAGUCGAACGCAGUAGCAAUACUGAGUGGCAGACGGGUGAGUAACAUGUGGGAAUCUGCCUUGUGGUUCAGGACAACAUUGGGAAACCGAUGCUAAUACUGGAUAAGCCCUUACGGGGAAAGUUUUAAUGCCAUAAGAUGAGCCCGCAUUUGAUUAGUUAGUUGGUGAGGUAAUGGCUCACCAAGACAGUGAUCAAUAGCUGAUCUGAGAGGAUGAUCAGCCACACUGGGACUGAGACACGGCCCAGACUCCUACGGGAGGCAGCAGUGGGGAAUCUUGCACAAUGGAGGAAACUCUGAUGCAGCGAUGCCGCGUGAGUGAAGAAGGCCUUUGGGUUGUAAAGCUCUUUUGUAGGGGAAGAUAAUGACUGUACCCUAAGAAUAAGGUCCGGCUAACUUCGUGCCAGCAGCCGCGGUAAUACGAAGGGACCUAGCGUAGUUCGGAAUUACUGGGCGUAAAGCGCGCGUAGGCCGUUGAGUUAGUUAAUUGUGAAAUCCCAAAGCUUAACUUUGGAACUGCAAUUAAAACUGCUCGACUAGAGUUUGAUAGAGGAAAGCGGAAUACAUAGUGUAGAGGUGAAAUUCGUAGAUAUUAUGUAGAACACCAGUUGCGAAGGCGGCUUUCUGGAUCAACACUGACGCUGAGGCGCGAAAGUAUGGUAGCAAAGAGGAUUAGAUACCCUCGUAGUCCAUACCAUAACGAUGAUUGCUAGAUGUUGGAAAUUAUUUCAGUAUCGCAGCUACGCAUUAAGCAAUCCGCUGGGGAGU
This 798-nucleotide ribosomal RNA is filed under the name uncultured Crater Lake bacterium CL120-34. Its description in RNAcentral is "bacterial SSU rRNA". It matches the Rfam family "Bacterial small subunit ribosomal RNA", at positions 28 to 881 of the family's 1533-position model. The record is from RNAcentral.